This 253-nucleotide ribosomal RNA is filed under the name uncultured bacterium. Its description in RNAcentral is "partial 16S ribosomal RNA". It matches the Rfam family "Bacterial small subunit ribosomal RNA", at positions 524 to 774 of the family's 1533-position model. The record is from RNAcentral.
UACGGAGGGUGCAAGCGUUGUCCGGAAUCACUGGGCGUAAAGGGCGCGUAGGCGGCUCAUGAAGGCUGUGGUGAAAGUCCGGGGCUCAACCUCGGAUCGGCCGUGGCGACUCGUGGGCUGGAGCACUGUAGAGGCGGGGUGGAAUUCCGGGUGUAGCGGUGGAAUGCGUAGAGAUCCGGAAGAACACCAGUGGCGAAGGCGGCCCGCUGGGCAGUGGGCUGACGCUGAGGCGCGACAGCGUGGGGAGCAAACG